Molecule: ribosomal RNA, 208 nt
Filed under: uncultured bacterium
Lineage: Bacteria
Description: partial 16S ribosomal RNA
Rfam family: Bacterial small subunit ribosomal RNA
Source: RNAcentral
CUCGUAGGCGGUUUGUCGCGUCGGGAGUGAAAACACUGGGCUUAACCGAGUGCUUGCUUUCGAUACGGGCAGACUUGAGGCAUUGAGGGGAGAACGGAAUUCCUGGUGUAGCGGUGAAAUGCGCAGAUAUCAGGAGGAACACCGGUGGCGAAGGCGGUUCUCUGGCAAUGUUCUGACGCUGAGGAGCGAAAGUGUGGGGGAGCGAACA